Molecule: ribosomal RNA, 219 nt
Filed under: uncultured archaeon
Lineage: Archaea
Description: partial 16S ribosomal RNA
Rfam family: Archaeal small subunit ribosomal RNA
Source: RNAcentral
AUGGGCUAAAGCGUCGUAGCUGGCUGCGCAAGUCCGUCGGGAAAUCCACUCGCCCAACGAGUGGGCGUCCGACGGAAACUGCACAGCUUGGGACCGGAAGGCUCGAAGGGUACGUUCGGGGUAGGAGUGAAAUCCUAUAAUCCCGCACGGACCACCGAUGGCGAAAGCACUUCGAGAAAACGGAUCCGACAGUGAGGGACGAAAGCCAGGGUCUCCAAC